Molecule: ribosomal RNA, 303 nt
Filed under: uncultured soil bacterium
Lineage: Bacteria
Description: bacterial SSU rRNA
Rfam family: Bacterial small subunit ribosomal RNA
Source: RNAcentral
AGAACGAACGCUGGCGGCAUGCCUAAUACAUGCAAGUCGAACGAACUCUUCGGAGUUAGUGGCGCACGGGUGCGUAACGCGUGGGAAUCUGCCCCUUGGUUCGGAAUAACAGUUGGAAACGACUGCUAAUACCGGAUGAUGACGAAAGUCCAAAGAUUUAUCGCCAAGGGAUGAGCCCGCGUAGGAUUAGCUAGUUGGUGAGGUAAAGGCUCACCAAGGCAACGAUCCUUAGCUGGUCUGAGAGGAUGAUCAGCCACACGUGGGACUGAGACGACCGGCCCAGACCUCCGUACGGGGAGGCAG